AGGCAUAGAACCUACUAAAAAGAAGAUGAACUUGCAAAUCGCUGCAACACAACAAUUUUUUAGCACUAUUUAAUAAUUAAUUAUUUAAAUUGAAAAUAAAAAUUAAUUAAAUGCUAUUGACAUAAAGACAAAAACCAUGGGAAAUAAAUGAGCUUAAGAAAUUGAAUUUAUGGAGUGUAUCUCCAGGUGUUUUGGCAAAAUUUCUAAUAAUUUUAGGUCGCUUGAAUGUACUUUGAAUAUUUUAUUCUAUUUCAAAAUGUUUAGCACGUAAUUCUACUACAUAUUUACACUUAUAAAUUCACUUCCUGUCAUUUCUGACAAUAAUAAGUCUUAGAAUCGAUAAUGAUUUCCAAAUUUUUAACGUGCGAAAACUCGUUGUCACUAAGUUUUUAUUUUUGUACCAUUUGUUACUUCUCAGAAUAUUUGAGAGCCGAUUUUCUUGAUUUUCAAACUACUUUCUGCUCUUUUAGAACGUUGCUUACAUAUUUUGAAUUUAGAGCUGCCUCCCAGUUUUCUGUGAGUCUCUUCUUGUAGGUUUUUUUUGUUUUCAACUUUCAAUACAUUCCUAAAUGAAAAAGGCGUUGAUCAGAAAAAUACCACCUCUCAAAUUGAAACUGGAUCUCUAGAAAUGCAAUUGAUCGAUUUAAAAAGUGAAGCUUGUUUGAGUGGAAAAUUCAAAGAGUUGAAAAGCAAGUUAGAAGUGUUGGAGGUCCAGAAAUGUGUGUACAAAAAGCAUCAAAAGUUGAAGUACAAGUUAGGGUUAUUUUCGAUAAUCGAAGCUAAACUUCUAACAGACACGGAAUGUUUAUUUGACAACUGCCAAAAUACUUGCAAAACUGUCUAAAAAUGUACGAAUUUUUUGUCUCCACACCCUUAUUGUGCAACGAAUUUUGUACGGGGACGGUGGAUCGUUUCGACGAGUUUUUUCUUAAACAAAAUUAUUAGAAAGUUUGUUAGUGCGGAUUCACCUUUUUUUUUUAGUUUAAAAGCAUAUUAUUUAUUUAUAAAACGUAUAUCAUUUCUAUGCAUAGUAAUUUAUUUCGUGUUUACAAAUAAAUUAAUUAUGGAGGUAUUCAAAUUAUGUCACAAUGUUUGAUUAAUUAAUUAAUUUCUAUGUAACAGUCAUCGACCUUUUCUCUGCACUCGGAAAAGAAUUAAUUAAAGUGUAAUUGAAUAAAAUUAAAUUGAUUUAUACAAUUUUAUAUAAUAAAAUAAAACAUCACAUAUUAUAAA
Molecule: long non-coding RNA, 1233 nt
Organism: Diorhabda sublineata
Lineage: Eukaryota; Metazoa; Arthropoda; Insecta; Coleoptera; Chrysomelidae
Exons: 2
Source: RefSeq, a predicted model, not a curated record